RNAcentral lists this transfer RNA (90 nucleotides) under bacterium. Its description in RNAcentral is "tRNA-Ser". It matches the Rfam family "tRNA". From Rfam's summary of the family: Transfer RNA (tRNA) molecules are approximately 80 nucleotides in length. The record is from RNAcentral.
GGAGAGGUGCCGGAGCGGUUGAACGGGGCGGUCUCGAAAACCGUUGAACCUUCGCGGGUUCCCAGGGUUCGAAUCCCUGCCUCUCCGCCA